This 2146-nucleotide long non-coding RNA is filed under the name Schizosaccharomyces pombe (fission yeast). Lineage: Eukaryota; Fungi; Ascomycota; Schizosaccharomycetes; Schizosaccharomycetales; Schizosaccharomycetaceae. The record is from RNAcentral.
CAUAAAUAAUUAGUCAGAAAAUUAGUUUAUUCAGAAAGCAGCUAGACGAGAUGCAAUAUUUCAUGAUUAAAUGUGAGCUCAACAACUCUAAAGAAAUUAAUUAAACAUAUAUAAUCCUUCGCAAAGCAGAGUAAAAAAGUGUAGCUUUUAAGUGCCCCCUUGAAUUUUCUUAAUUACUGUUCCAUUUUGAGGUCGCUCUUUGGAAAUUAAAGCUUUAAUCAAUUUUCGUUGAACAUUUACUAGAGCAGCCAGUGAGGAAUCCAAAGUACUCAGUUUUUGUAAAAAAUUGUUUCUCUCGUUAUUUAUCGAAAAAUUUUUAUCUUUCUGUUCUAUUGUAAAACCCGGUUUGUCAUUUAAUGAGUUGUUUGCAGUAAGAUUUGAAUUUACUCUGUGGUUUUUAACAAGCUCAACAUACCGCUCCUGAGCAUCGCCCAAUGCAGUCAUAAGGUCUGACAAUUGCUGUUUAGUGGAUGAUAAAACACCAUCUCGUUGUUUAAGUUCAAGUUGUGCUUCAGCAUACAAACGAUUGAUAGAAUCAGAAUCAAAGUUAUGUCUGUGUAUCGAAGCAACUGUGCUUUCGUCUCUGUCAUUAUUACUUUCCUGAAUUGUUCUAUUUCCUUGAAUGAUUUCUGCUUCCUUUAAGUUGGAUUUUUCGGCGAGAUUUGACAGUGUGAGGGAAUGCUCGCCUGACCAUACGUUAGAAUGACAAUUAUUAUAGUCUAAGUUAUUGUUAAUUCUGGCUCCACAAACGCAACGAGACAAAGCAUCUUUAUAAAUAUACAGCUGUCUUUUCAUUUCAUCAACAGAAAGUUCUGAGUUUACUACCGCUUUGUUUUUGAUGCUCUUUGCACGAUGUCCAAACCUAAGAGUAGAUAAGGUCUCUGUUGCAUUGUAUGAAUCUGGUGAACAGUUAAUAAUUAGAGUGGUCCGAGAAUUUCCACCAAGAGACUCUUUUAAAAUACGCGUUAACUUGGAAUCUCUAUAAGGAACAUGUGAUAAUUUGCUGUCUGUGAGAGAAUUAAUAACCAUUCCAAGAGUUGAAAGAGAACGGUUUAUUUUCUUUGCUUCUUCUAAGGUUUGCCCGACUGCUCCACUUUUUCCUACGCUUUCGGAACCUGCCAAGUCAACUAAAAACAACCGGCCUCGUCGAGUUUCGCCGGACUCAGUGUCCGUUUGGACAACUUCGAGUACAAAAAUAGAAUGAGACCGUGAACUUUGCGCAUUCAUCGACGUACUUGCAACGGCACGUGACCCCAUACCUUUAUUUAAAAUAUCCAAUGCCUCCGUUUCACUUGAUACGUAAAUCGUUUUUAAACCUUGAACAUAAACUCCCUGAAGUUUAUCUUCAUGAACCGUCAGUCUGUCAUUUUUUUCUGUAAAUCAUGGUUAAUUUUGCUGAAAUUAAAUACGAACGUCGCAAAAUUUCUACGGCAUUUGAAGGCUUACCGGAAAGUAGAUCAUGAAUUUUUUCCAUGUAGAUUUCCAUGUAUGAUACCUUCACUUCGUAUUCAGUAGUAGAUGGUGAAUCGCGGAUUUUGUCAAAAAUACGCCUGAGCAUUCUUGGAGUCAUUCCUUCUUUUUCGAAAUUAUUUUCAAUACCCUAAAGAUUGUUAGAAAAGUGUGCCAGGUGAAAUUGUGAAUAUACCAUCAUGGUGUAUGUUUUGCCGGAUCCUGUCUGUCCAUAGGCUAGUACUGUUCCGUUAUAACCCAAGAAUAAGUCUAUAAUAUAUUAGUACAUAUUUAAUGAAAUUCAGAACAACUUGAAUGUGAUUCGAACAAUGUAUUAAAAUGGCAAUUCGUUUCAAAUGAAGCGUCAAAACGAGCGCAUAUAAAAAAAGGCUAUGCUAUAAUUUCAUACAAGCUGUUGCUGACAACGAUGAAAUUAAUCCGUUCAACGCCGUGUAAAGUUUUACUAUCAUUCACAUACCAUCGACUGUCGAUUCAAUUGAAUACGAAAAUAUAUCAUUCUGAGUGCUAGAAGGAUGAAAAACACGAUCGAAUACAAAGUUUCCUGAGUAAUCACUAGUCUUUUAAUCAUGUCAGCCGAAUUCUAAAGUAAAGAUCAAUUGUUGAAACCUACCUCGAUAUGAACAGUAGAAUCGUUUAAUGGGUAUAUCACAUUAUUUCCUCCAAGGUCUUGUUCCAA